GAUGAACGCUGGCGGCGUGCCUAAUACAUGCAAGUAGAACGCUGAAGGAAGGAGCUUGCUCUUUCCGGAUGAGUUGCGAACGGGUGAGUAACGCGUAGGUAACCUGCCUGGUAGCGGGGGAUAACUAUUGGAAACGAUAGCUAAUACCGCAUAACAGUAGAUGUUGCAUGAUAUCUACUUAAAAGGUGCAAUUGCACCACUACCAGAUGGACCUGCGUUGUAUUAGCUAGUUGGUGAGGUAACGGCUCACCAAGGCGACGAUACAUAGCCGACCUGAGAGGGUGAUCGGCCACACUGGGACUGAGACACGGCCCAGACUACUACGGGAGGCAGCAGUAGGGAAUCUUCGGCAAUGGACGGAAGUCUGACCGAGCAACGCCGCGUGAGUGAAGAAGGUUUUCGGAUCGUAAAGAUCUGUUGUAAGAGAAGAACGAGUGUGAGAGUGGAAAGUUCACACUGUGACGGUAUCUGACCAGAAAGGGACGGCUAACUACGUG
RNAcentral lists this ribosomal RNA (497 nucleotides) under uncultured bacterium. RNAcentral describes it as "partial 16S ribosomal RNA". It matches the Rfam family "Bacterial small subunit ribosomal RNA", at positions 28 to 507 of the family's 1533-position model. The record is from RNAcentral.